Long non-coding RNA from Rattus rattus (black rat), 795 nucleotides. RefSeq lists it as uncharacterized. Lineage: Eukaryota; Metazoa; Chordata; Mammalia; Rodentia; Muridae. The transcript is spliced from 3 exons. The record is from RefSeq and is a predicted model, not a curated record.
AAGGAAUCAGAAGCCGGUGUCAGAUCUCCUGCAAGUGGACUUGGCAGGGAGCGGCCGAGCGGGAGUGGGGAACUGAAUCGAGUCCUAUCCAAGAACAAAUGUUCUUAAAUGCUGAGCCAUCACUUAUCCCCGUGGCCUUCAGUUUUUAAUGAUAAAACCCCCAGAUAAGCACAUAUGUGUGCUUAUGUAGGUGUGUAAAUACACGAAGUGAUGCUGCAAACAGAAUAGUUGCUGUCUACUGCCUGGCACUUGGAACAAGAUGUGGAAGAGCAGGGGUGGAGAGGCUGAAGCAGGGACCGUGCUGUGAAGUCACCUGCCUGCACACAUUGGCUUAAUUCAGUUAUGUACAGAGGGAUCCACAGCCAUGCUCAAGGAAGAAGGGAGAGUGCUUCCAGAUGCUUCUACUGUCUUGAUGCUGGAAUACGGACUCAUGUGAGAACAGGUGCACAACACGACAGACAUAGAACAUUGGCUUCGGAAGGGGCUGGCCAAGCCUCGACCUGCUUCUCAUUAUUACGCUAAAGGAACAGGCUAGCUGAAGCAGCCAUGGUGCCCAUUUUUUUUAUAUUACCUUUCUGUUCCUUGAACAGUUAAAAAAAAUAAUGGCAGGACUUUUCUCUAAGUGAAUGAAAGAAAAUAUAACAAAUAAUGCUAAUAUUUCCAUUUUCUACCAACAAGAGUUCUUCUACAAAAAUCCAACCAUCGACUGCUAGACAAUGGAGCUUUGUAUCUUCUGUCUGAGAUCUGAAAGAUUAGCAGAUAAAAGGCAUGUGUAAAACUCGCGGUGGAAGCUCG